GCUGCGGCAGCGACACUAUGUGUUGUUGGGUAGGGGAGCGUUCUGUAAGCCUGCGAAGGUGUGCUGUGAGGCAUGCUGGAGGUAUCAGAAGUGCGAAUGCUGACAUAAGUAACGAUAAAGCGGGUGAAAAGCCCGCUCGCCGGAAGACCAAGGGUUCCUGUCCAACGUUAAUCGGGGCAGGGUGAGUCGACCCCUAAGGCGAGGCCGAAAGGCGUAGUCGAUGGGAAACAGGUUAAUAUUCCUGUACUUGGUGUUACUGCGAAGGGGGGACGGAGAAGGCUAUGUUAGCCGGGCGACGGUUGUCCCGGUUUAAGCAUGUAGGCUGAUUGUCCAGGCAAAUCCGGAUAAUCAAGGCUGAGGUGUGAUGACGAGGCACUACGGUGCUGAAGUAACAAAUGCCCUGCUUCCAGGAAAAGCCUCUAAGCAUCAGGUAACAUUAAAUCGUACCCCAAACCGACACAGGUGGUCAGGUAGAGAAUACCAAGGCGCUUGAGAGAACUCGGGUGAAGGAACUAGGCAAAAUGGUGCCGUAACUUCGGGAGAAGGCACGCUGGUGUGUAGGUGAAGUCCCUGCGGAUGGAGCUGAGACCAGUCGAAGAUACCAGCUGGCUGCAACUGUUUAUUAAAAACACAGCACUGUGCAAACACGAAAGUGGACGUAUACGGUGUGACGCCUGCCCGGUGCCGGAAGGUUAAUUGAUGGGGUUAUCCGUAAGGAGAAGCUCUUGAUCGAAGCCCCGGUAAACGGCGGCCGUAACUAUAACGGUCCUAAGGUAGCGAAAUUCCUUGUCGGGUAAGUUCCGACCUGCACGAAUGGCGUAAUGAUGGCCAGGCUGUCUCCACCCGAGACUCAGUGAAAUUGAACUCGCUGUGAAGAUGCAGUGUACCCGCGGCAAGACGGAAAGACCCCGUGAACCUUUACUAUAGCUUGACACUGAACAUUGAGCCUUGAUGUGUAGGAUAGGUGGGAGGCUUUGAAGCGUGGACGCCAGUCUGCGUGGAGCCAACCUUGAAAUACCACCCUUUAAUGUUUGAUGUUCUAACGUUGGCCCCUGACCGGGGUUGCGGACAGUGUCUGGUGGGUAGUUUGACUGGGGCGGUCUCCUCCCAAAGCGUAACGGAGGAGCACGAAGGUUAGCUAAUCCUGGUCGGACAUCAGGAGGUUAGUGCAAUGGCAUAAGCUAGCUUGACUGCGAGCGUGACGGCGCGAGCAGGUGCGAAAGCAGGUCAUAGUGAUCCGGUGGUUCUGAAUGGAAGGGCCAUCGCUCAACGGAUAAAAGGUACUCCGGGGAUAACAGGCUGAUACCGCCCAAGAGUUCAUAUCGACGGCGGUGUUUGGCACCUCGAUGUCGGCUCAUCACAUCCUGGGGCUGAAGUAGGUCCCAAGGGUAUGGCUGUUCGCCAUUUAAAGUGGUACGCGAGCUGGGUUUAGAACGUCGUGAGACAGUUCGGUCCCUAUCUGCCGUGGGCGCUGGAGAAUUGAGGGGGGCUGCUCCUAGUACGAGAGGACCGGAGUGGACGCAUCACUGGUGUUCGGGUUGUCAUGCCAAUGGCACUGCCCGGUAGCUAAAUGCGGAAGAGAUAAGUGCUGAAAGCAUCUAAGCACGAAACUUGCCCCGAGAUGAGUUCUCCCUGAGACUUUAAGUCUCCUGAAGGAACGUUAAAGACGAUGACGUUGAUAGGCCGGGUGUGUAAGCGCAGCGAUGCGUUGAGCUAACCGGUACUAAUGAACCGUGAGGCUUAACCUU
RNAcentral lists this ribosomal RNA (1748 nucleotides) under Klebsiella pneumoniae. RNAcentral describes it as "bacterial LSU rRNA". It matches the Rfam family "Bacterial large subunit ribosomal RNA", at positions 1199 to 2925 of the family's 2925-position model. The record is from RNAcentral. Lineage: Bacteria; Pseudomonadati; Pseudomonadota; Gammaproteobacteria; Enterobacterales; Enterobacteriaceae.